UCAUCGAACCGCCACCUAAACUACCUGGCAGCGUCUGCCCUGCCCCGAAGGCGCCAAGUACCUUCAUGAUCAACAUGAC
Molecule: ribosomal RNA, 79 nt
Filed under: Trypanosoma cruzi
Lineage: Eukaryota; Euglenozoa; Kinetoplastea; Trypanosomatida; Trypanosomatidae
Description: rRNA M6
Source: RNAcentral